This 497-nucleotide ribosomal RNA is filed under the name uncultured bacterium. Its description in RNAcentral is "partial 16S ribosomal RNA". It matches the Rfam family "Bacterial small subunit ribosomal RNA", at positions 28 to 507 of the family's 1533-position model. The record is from RNAcentral.
GACGAACGCUGGCGGCGUGCCUAAUACAUGCAAGUUGAGCGCUGAAGGUUGGUACUUGUACCAACUGGAUGAGCAGCGAACGGGUGAGUAACGCGUGGGGAAUCUGCCUUUGAGCGCGGGACAACAUUUGGAAACGAAUGCUAAUACCGCAUAAAAACUUUAAACACAAGUUUUAAGUUUGAAAGAUGCAAUUGCAUCACUCAAAGAUGAUCCCGCGUUGUAUUAGCUAGUUGGUGAGGUAAAGGCUCACCAAGGCGAUGAUACAUAGCCGACCUGAGAGGGUGAUCGGCCACAUUGGGACUGAGACACGGCCCAAACUCCUACGGGAGGCAGCAGUAGGGAAUCUUCGGCAGUGGACGAAAGUCUGACCGAGCAACGCCGCGUGAGUGAAGAAGGUUUUCGGAUCGUAAAACUCUGUUGGUAGAGAAGAACGUUGGUGAGAGUGGAAAGCUCAUCAAGUGACGGUAACUACCCAGAAAGGGACGGCUAACUACGUG